Long non-coding RNA from Epinephelus fuscoguttatus (brown-marbled grouper), 370 nucleotides. RefSeq lists it as uncharacterized. The record is from RefSeq and is a predicted model, not a curated record. NCBI's taxonomy places the organism in Eukaryota, Metazoa, Chordata, Actinopteri, Perciformes, Serranidae. The transcript has 3 exons.
GACACAUCACAUCAUCUGACACCAACUAACGCUGAAUUUACAAAGGGACAUCACCCAAGCUGAACUGCCACAGACUUGGAAGCAGCUGUAGAGCCGGAGUAUCUGCCGUCCCGCUGAGAAAUCCAGAGCAUCACAACGCCCAGAGAAAUACAAGAUGGCUGCUAAGCGUGUCGCUCGUCCUUUUGAAUACCCCGAAGACGAAGAGGACAGGGCAGCAUUCAGAGACAAAACACUGCGUGGCAAUAAAGACAUUCUGUAUUAUCAUACAGGUGCUGAUGGUCAUACAUGCAGCCUCAUGUAUUUCAGCACACGUGUCAGAGAAUGGUUGGAUACACUGAAGCAACAAUACCCUAAACUUCAGGAAACUCAA